Molecule: transfer RNA, 72 nt
Filed under: Heterogamodes hebraica
Lineage: Eukaryota; Metazoa; Arthropoda; Insecta; Blattodea; Corydiidae
Description: tRNA-Trp
Source: RNAcentral
AAGGCUUUAAGUUAAUAUUAAACUGAUAACCUUCAAAGCUAUAAAUAAAGAAAUCCCUAUCUUUAAGCCUUA